RNAcentral lists this ribosomal RNA (3400 nucleotides) under Triticum aestivum (bread wheat). RNAcentral's name for it is "partial small subunit ribosomal RNA". The record is from RNAcentral. Lineage: Eukaryota; Viridiplantae; Streptophyta; Magnoliopsida; Poales; Poaceae.
CGGGAAGCAAAACGGCACGCGAAAUUAUAUAUCUAUCUCUGCGACCCAUCUUCCUCUCGCACCCCACUUCGCCCCCUCUUCUUCGCCCGCCCGUGCUGUGCCGUGCGGUGCCAUGUCGAGGUCGCAGAUAAUAAGUAGCAGUAGACGCGGCUCGCUAAUCAUUGUCUCUUUUAAGUAAGUCUUAAUAACUAAGAUAAGAGGCGCCAACCGCAACCCCCACCUCCUCCUUGCCCGUGGCUGGAUUUCUUUUUGUUCACGAAGUGCCGCUGCUGCUAUUGCUUUUUGUCUGCCCAUAGUCUUCUCCUUGGUCUUAGAUACUCUAUCACCGUUGGGUUCCUCUCCUCGCGGGGCCUCCCCCUCUCCCUCCUCGUCUUCCUUGUCCCCUUCCUCAAUCACAAUCGCAACAGUAUAUCAUCAUCAUCGCCGAGGGCCCGUCCCGUCCCGCCCGAGCUCUUCGUCCACAGUUUCGUUUUGUUUUGUUUGUUGACGCCGUGCCUUUGCUUGAGCAAUUUGGUUUCUUGCAUAAGCAUUCGCCUUUGACUGCUUCUUCUCUUCUCUUCCCUUUCCUUCUUCUUCUCACCACCUGCCGGCUGAGCACCAAGGCCCACCAACCAUCUUCAAUGUGCUCAUUCAACAAUUCUGCCUCUUGAUGCAUACAUGGCCCCCGUCCCAGAGGCGUCAGAUCAUGGCAUUCCAAGCUGCAGCUCCAGCUCCUGCUCCCGCCGGAUGGAAGGCGUUGACUUCGACGGCUCAUCGAUCCUGCUAGCACUUUCCUUCAAUCCAGCCCAUCUCUUCCCCGUUGGAAGGUAAAAUCCUUUCCUUUCCUUUCCUUUCCUCGGUGGGUGGCCGACACCCCUCCGGGCCGCGCGUGAUCUGAUCGGCCCCGGCGCGGCGCAGAGCACCACGAGUCUCCCGCCCCGUCCCGUCCCGUGCUUGGAUCCCUGGAGCAGGAGUGGUGGUGGGGUAGCUGCCGCAGGCCCUUGUCCUGUCCCCCCCGCCCGCCGCUCCAUAAAGAUUCGGCGAUUCCGUCUUCGUCUUGGUCCGAUCGUCCCACCCAUCGGCAGCGGCGAUGGGCAACACGUGCGUCGGCCCCAGCAUCGGCAAGAACGGCUUCUUCCACUCCGUCUCCACCGUGCUCUGGACCAGGCGCCCCGACGGCGAAGCCCUGCCCGCCGCCAACGCCAAUGGAGGCGCCGCGGACCGGACGCCGCCGCCGGACGCGCCGCUGGCCGCCCACAUCGUGAGCAAGGCGCCCGAGCCCGUCAAGAUCGCCUCCGGCGCCGCCAACGCCAAGCCCGAUGAGGCGGCGCAACCCAAGCCCAAGGCCAAGCCGCCGGCACAUCCCAAGCCGGCCGCCCCCGCCGCCGCCAAGGAGCAGGAGUCCAAGGCGUCCACGGACUCGUCCAGCAGCUCCGGCUCCGGCUUCGGCGAGGCCAAGCCGCCGCACCACCGGCCCAAGGUGCCCCCGGUCAAGCGCGUGUCGAGCGCCGGCCUGCUGGUCGGCUCCGUGCUCAAGCGCAAGACGGAGAGCGUCAAGGAGAAGUACAGCCUGGGGCGGCGGCUGGGCCAGGGCCAGUUCGGCACCACCUACCUCUGCGUCGAGCGGAGCUCCGGCAAGGAGUACGCCUGCAAGUCCAUCCUCAAGCGCAAGCUCGUCACCGACGACGACGUGGAGGACGUGCGCCGGGAGAUCCAGAUAAUGUACCACCUGGCGGGCCACCCCAACGUCAUCUCCAUCCGGGGCGCCUACGAGGACGCCGUCGCCGUGCACCUCGUCAUGGAGCUCUGCGCCGGCGGCGAGCUCUUCGACAGGAUCGUGCAGAAGGGCCACUACACCGAGCGCAAGGCCGCCGAGCUCGCCAGGGUCAUCGUCGGCGUCGUAGAGGUGUGCCACUCCAUGGGCGUCAUGCACCGGGACCUCAAGCCCGAGAACUUCCUCUUCGUCGACCAGACGGAGGAGGCCGCCCUCAAGACCAUCGACUUUGGUCUCUCCGUCUUCUUCCGGCCUGGUCAAAUAUUCACCGAUGUUGUCGGAAGCCCCUACUAUGUCGCGCCAGAAGUGCUGAAGAAGAAAUAUGGCCCCGAGGCAGACGUCUGGAGCGCCGGUGUGAUCAUCUACAUUCUGUUAUGUGGUGUGCCGCCAUUUUGGGCAGAGAACGAGCAGGGCAUAUUCGAAGAGGUUCUACAUGGGAAACUCGACUUCGAGUCAGAUCCAUGGCCCAGCAUCUCCGAAGGCGCCAAGGAUCUCGUGAGGAGAAUGCUCCUCAGGGACCCCAAGAAGAGACUGACCGCCCAUGAAGUUCUACGGCAUCCAUGGGUUCAGGUUGGCGGUCUGGCUCCUGACAAGCCUCUGGACUCUGCUGUUCUAUCCCGUAUGAAGCAGUUCUCGGCCAUGAACAAGCUCAAAAAGAUGGCUCUCAGGGUGAUUGCGGAGAACUUGUCCGAGGACGAGAUCGCCGGCCUCAAGGAGAUGUUCAAGAUGAUCGACUCGGACAACAGCGGGCAGAUCACGUACGAGGAGCUCAAGGUGGGGCUCAAGAAGGUGGGCGCCAACCUCCAGGAGUCGGAGAUCUACGCGCUCAUGCAGGCCGCGGACGUGGACAAGAGCGGGACGAUCGACUACGGCGAGUUCAUCGCGGCGACGCUGCACCUGAACAAGGUGGAGCGGGAGGACCACCUGUUCGCGGCGUUCCAGUACUUCGACAAGGACGGCAGCGGCUACAUCACCCCCGACGAGCUGCAGCUCGCCUGCGAGGAGUUCGGCCUCGGCUCCGACGACCUCAGCCUCGACAACAUGAUCAGAGAAGUCGACCAGGACAACGACGGGCGCAUAGACUACAACGAGUUCGUGGCGAUGAUGCAGAAGCCGGCGCUGGGGCUGGCGAAGAAGGCCGGGGCCGGGUUGGAGAGCAGCUUCAGUAUCGGCUUCAGGGAGGCGCUGAGGAUGGCCUGAAGGAGGAGGAGGAGGAGCUAGGUGGUAGUCGUGGUGACGCUAAUUUCGUUCUGCUCGUCGAAGACGCUUGUUGCAGAGACAUGGUGAGGUGAUUUGGGUUUUCAUAGGGUGGAAAGUGGCAGCAGCUCCUGGCGAGUAGCGGGGGACGGUCGGGACUCGGGACAACGUGCGUGUAGUAGAGGCAGGCAGGCAGGCAGGCAGGCAGCCCCGGUGAUUUUCUGCUCGCUACUGGUUUGGUUCAAUUGUGUAUUAUACUGAGUAUAAACUACAAAAGGCUUUUCCCCCUCCUUGUAUACAGUACGGUUAGAAGUGAAACUUGCACAAGUUGGAUUAGCUUUAUAGGAAGAGUCAUAUGAAUGUGGCAAAUUUGUGAAACUUUUGAAGAGCCCCAAACUCAAUUGGGAAUAAGUUUAGGGGAUUUUCUCUAGCAUCCCUGGCUGUGGCUCG